RNAcentral lists this ribosomal RNA (253 nucleotides) under uncultured bacterium. RNAcentral's name for it is "partial 16S ribosomal RNA". It matches the Rfam family "Bacterial small subunit ribosomal RNA", at positions 524 to 776 of the family's 1533-position model. The record is from RNAcentral.
UACGAAGGGGGCUAGCGUUGCUCGGAAUUACUGGGCGUAAAGGGCGCGUAGGCGGCACCAUCAGUCAGGCGUGAAAUUCCCGGGCUCAACCUGGGGACUGCGCUUGAUACAGUGGAGCUAGAGGACGGAAGAGGCUCGCGGAAUUCCCAGUGUAGAGGUGAAAUUCGUAGAUAUUGGGAAGAACACCGGUGGCGAAGGCGGCGAGCUGGUCCGUUACUGACGCUGAGGCGCGACAGCGUGGGGAGCAAACAGG